Molecule: long non-coding RNA, 366 nt
Organism: Dermochelys coriacea (leatherback sea turtle)
Lineage: Eukaryota; Metazoa; Chordata; Testudines; Dermochelyidae
Exons: 3
Source: RefSeq, a predicted model, not a curated record
UGUCCUUUGGACUUGGCUAUCCAAAAAGGAAAAGGAGAAGAGAUGAGAAGCCUACAGGCCACAGAUCUGGGCUUUAGAGACCUAGUCUUUCUGACCACAAGUUUGGUUGUUCUGACUCAAGGAUCUGAGACCCUUGCAUAACCGGAAUGAACAUGAUCACACAGUAUGUCUUCCCAAGACUGAACAUUUGCUUCUCUGGCUGAAACAGUCUCACCUAACCAUGUGACCCUUGUACCAAGACCUGUUUGUACAUUAUGCAGAUUUUUAGUCUCAAAUUCCUUCACCUACUGGAAGAAAUGUGGUUGUAUGAUUAAGUUCCAGGACUGGGAAUCAAGAUUCCUGGGAUCUAUUCCUGGCUCUGCAAGA